Molecule: unclassified non-coding RNA, 363 nt
Filed under: uncultured bacterium
Lineage: Bacteria
Description: contains 16S-23S intergenic spacer region
Source: RNAcentral
UCCCCGUUGCCAGGGCAGUCUGAUUAGAAAAAUACAACUAAUCACAAGGGUUGCGCUCGUUAAUGGACUUAACCAAACAUCUCACGACACGAGCUGACGACGGCCAUGCAUCAUCUGUCACUUGGUUCAAUAAAGCACUCUCGCCUUUCGGCAAAAUUCCAAGGAUGUCAAACCCUGGUAAGGUUCAUCGGUUAUCAUCGAAUUAAAGAACAUAAUCCACCGCUUGUGCGGCUCCCCGUCAAUUCCUUUAUGUUUUAGUCUUGCGACCGUACUCCACAGGCGGGAUACUUAACGCGUUAGCUUCGCUACUGAAGGGGUCGAUACCUCCAACAGCUAGUAUCCAUCGUUUACGGCGUGGACUAC